Molecule: long non-coding RNA, 1247 nt
Organism: Patella vulgata (common limpet)
Lineage: Eukaryota; Metazoa; Mollusca; Gastropoda; Patellidae
Exons: 3
Source: RefSeq, a predicted model, not a curated record
AAUUUACGGACAUGAUAAACAUUGCCCAGACUAUAUUAGUACCAACAAACUUAACAGCAUGAAACGAUUACUGAACAUGAAGACGACCGAGGACGUUGAAGAUAUUCUGUAUGGUCUGGGAUAUCCCAAGAGGACUACAACAUCCGGUGACGUCUAUAUACCUGAUUUACCAGACCCUAAGGUUCAUAUUCCAGAUAUUCCUGUAAUUGUGACAUGUGCGUCGUCUAAUCAUUUCAAGGAGAUGCAAGCUAUGAUGCAUAAUAUUGAUACUGUUAUAAGACCAGUUUAUCCUGAUAUAAAAGUUAUUUUAUACGAUAUAGGAUUUACAGAACGAGAAAGACAAGUGAUAAUUAAAUAUGGAAGAUGUGAAUUGAGGAAGUUUAACUUUACUAAAUAUCCAGAUCACAUAAAAUAUCUUCAUACUUGUGCCUGGAAACCCAUCAUUAUACAGGAAGUGUUAAAUCAACAUGGGUUUGCAAUGUACAUGGAUGCUUCAAUUCGCUUAACGAGUGGAGAUCUGAACCGUGUCUUCAAUCAAGUGAAACGAUCUGGCAUCAGCUAUAUCUAUAAUCCCUUUUACAAUAAUUUAAUUCCAAAUCACACAUUCAGUAAAACAUUUGAAUAUUUUAAUACAAAGCCCUGUUUAUUUCACGGUUUAAGCGAACUUCAGGCAGGAUUUAAUAUUGUUGUGAAAAAUAACUUAUACGCCUACACUAUAAUGAGGUCGUGGUUGACAUGCUGUCUUCAGAGAUAUUGUGUAAUGCCGAAGGGAGCCGAGGGGAGAACCUCCUGUUCUGGAUUAAAAAGAUACCAUCAAUGUCAUCGCAACGAUCAGUCAGCUCUGAGCAUUUCUGUUUAUAUGACAAAUCAGAUUCAGUUGGAUCACUUGGCAUUCCAAACGAAUUAUUUUCAAUAAGACGUGGGCAUCAGAUGAAUUACUUUCACUAAUUAAAAUUCAGUGUGGGCGACCUUGCUAUUAUUCUGGAUGUAUCUCAUGAUAUGAGUAGGGUGGCAUUAAGUUAUAAGGUCUGCCAUUAAGUCAGGUGGUUCAGUUUGGUUUCCCAAAUUGUGCAGCGUGGUUACAUGACCAAUGUGUGGGUUUGAUUUCGAGUCCUCAGGGUUACGCAUGGUUGUGGGUCCAUUUUUCUUUUCUCUUCUUUGUCUCUCUUACAAUUGCACUAUUAUAACUGUCAAUUAGAAUUUAUGUAAAGAAGGUAUCGAAAGGUCCUUUUGAACUGUAUUUAUGU